This 404-nucleotide ribosomal RNA is filed under the name uncultured bacterium. RNAcentral's name for it is "bacterial SSU rRNA". It matches the Rfam family "Bacterial small subunit ribosomal RNA", at positions 986 to 1393 of the family's 1533-position model. The record is from RNAcentral.
GGUCAGAGACUAGCAGAGAUGCUUUGGUGCCUUCGGGACUCUGAGACAGGUGCUGCAUGGCUGUCGUCAGCUCGUGUUGUGAAAUGUUGGGUUAAGUCCCGCAACGAGCGCAACCCUUAUCCUUUGUUGCCAGCGGUUCGGCCGGGAACUCAAAGGAGACUGCCAGUGAUAAACUGGAGGAAGGUGGGGAUGACGUCAAGUCAUCAUGGCCCUUACGAGUAGGGCUACACACGUGCUACAAUGGCGCAUACAAAGAGAAGCGACCUCGCGAGAGCAAGCGGACCUCAUAAAGUGCGUCGUAGUCCGGAUUGGAGUCUGCAACUCGACUCCAUGAAGUCGGAAUCGCUAGUAAUCGUGGAUCAGAAUGCCACGGUGAAUACGUUCCCGGGUCUUGUACACACCGA